GAUGAACGCUGGCGGCGUGCCUAAUACAUGCAAGUCGAGCGAACAGAUAAGGAGCUUGCUCCUUUGACGUUAGCGGCGGACGGGUGAGUAACACGUGGGUAACCUAUCUAUAAGACUGGAAUAACUCCGGGAAACCGGGGCUAAUGCCGGAUAACAUGUUGAACCGCAUGGUUCUACAGUGAAAGGCGGCUUUGCUGUCACUUAUAGAUGGACCCGCGCCGUAUUAGCUAGUUGGUGAGGUAACGGCUCACCAAGGCAACGAUACGUAGCCGACCUGAGAGGGUGAUCGGCCACACUGGAACUGAGACACGGUCCAGACUCCUACGGGAGGCAGCAGUAGGGAAUCUUACGCAAUGGGCGAAAGCCUGACGGAGCAACGCCGCGUGAGUGAUGAAGGUCUUCGGAUCGUAAAACUCUGUUAUUAGGGAAGAACAAAUGCGUAAGUAACUGUGCGCGUCUUGACGGUACCUAAUCAGAAAGCCACGGCUAACUACGUG
This 497-nucleotide ribosomal RNA is filed under the name uncultured bacterium. RNAcentral describes it as "partial 16S ribosomal RNA". It matches the Rfam family "Bacterial small subunit ribosomal RNA", at positions 28 to 507 of the family's 1533-position model. The record is from RNAcentral.